This 626-nucleotide ribosomal RNA is filed under the name uncultured bacterium. Its description in RNAcentral is "bacterial SSU rRNA". It matches the Rfam family "Bacterial small subunit ribosomal RNA", at positions 90 to 747 of the family's 1533-position model. The record is from RNAcentral.
UGGCAGUGGCGGACGGGUGAGUAACGCGUAGGAGUCUAUCCUUGAAUGGGGGACAACCGUGGGAAACUACGGCUAAUACCGCAUGAUGCCUGAGGGCCAAAGGUCGCAAGACCGUUUGAGGAGGAGCCUGCGUCUGAUUAGCUUGUUGGUGGGGUAAAGGCUUACCAAGGCGACGAUCAGUAGCUGGUCUGAGAGGAUGAUCAGCCACAUUGGGACUGAGACACGGCCCAAACUCCUACGGGAGGCAGCAGUGGGGAAUAUUGGACAAUGGGGGCAACCCUGAUCCAGCAAUGCCGCGUGGGUGAAGAAGGUCUUCGGAUUGUAAGGCCCUUUUGGCAGGGACGAUGAUGACGGUACCUGCAGAAUAAGCCCCGGCUGACUUCGUGCCAGCAGCCGCGGUAAUACGAAGGGGGCUAGCGUUGCUCGGAAUGACUGGGCGUAAAGGGCGCGUAGGCGGUUUAUACAGUCAGAUGUGAAAUUCCUGGGCUCAACCUGGGGACUGCAUUUGAGACGUAUGGACUUGAGUGGAGAAGAGGGUCGUGGAAUUUCCAGUGUAGAGGUGAAAUUCGUAGAUAUUGGAAAGAACACCGGUGGCGAAGGCGGCGACCUGGUCUUUGACUGACGCU